This 288-nucleotide ribosomal RNA is filed under the name uncultured bacterium. RNAcentral's name for it is "partial 16S ribosomal RNA". It matches the Rfam family "Bacterial small subunit ribosomal RNA", at positions 29 to 334 of the family's 1533-position model. The record is from RNAcentral.
AACGAACGCUGGCGGCAUGCCUAACACAUGCAAGUCGAACGAGAAGGUACCUUCGGGUACUGGACAGUGGCGGACGGGUGAGUAACGCGUGGGAACCUGCCCUUGGGUACAGGACAACGCCUGGAAACGGGUGCUAAUACUGUAUACGCCCUUUGGGGGAAAGAUUUAUCGCCCUUGGAUGGGCCCGCGUCGGAUUAGCUAGUUGGUGAGGUAACGGCUCACCAAGGCGACGAUCCGUAGCUGGUUUGAGAGGAUGAUCAGCCACACUGGGACUGAGACACGGCCCAG